GGAACCCACGAACUCAGCUCAGGAAGAGCAAACAAUCACAAGUCAUGAGCUAAUAAGAUCUAUUACACAGAAUCCCAUACUACCCGACAUGAACUAAAGACCCUACAAUGCACAUCCUUUUCAUCUUUUCAUCUUUUCCUCUUUUCCUCAGUGGGUAGCCCCCCACUAGGCUUCUACCCCAUAUUCAUGUGGAUUGGCCACAUCUCCUAUGGGUGCUUCCAUAUUCAUGUGGAUUCGCCACAUCUCCUAUGGAUACCUAGCGUGGACUACUACCCCACCUACUUUCCUUAGACUCUCUAUAUG
RNAcentral lists this long non-coding RNA (303 nucleotides) under Brassica rapa (field mustard). RNAcentral describes it as "long non-coding RNA (BRAP_LNC008017)". Lineage: Eukaryota; Viridiplantae; Streptophyta; Magnoliopsida; Brassicales; Brassicaceae. The record is from RNAcentral.